This 496-nucleotide ribosomal RNA is filed under the name uncultured bacterium. RNAcentral describes it as "partial 16S ribosomal RNA". It matches the Rfam family "Bacterial small subunit ribosomal RNA", at positions 30 to 523 of the family's 1533-position model. The record is from RNAcentral.
AUUGAACGCUGGCGGAAUGCUUUACACAUGCAAGUCGAACGGUAGAGGGGGCAACCCCUCGAGAGUGGCGAACGGGUGAGUAAUAUAUCGGAACGUGCCCAGUCGUGGGGGAUAACGCAGCGAAAGUUACGCUAAUACCGCAUACGAUCUAAGGAUGAAAGCGGGGGAUCGCAAGACCUCGCGCGAUUGGAGCGGCCGAUAUCAGAUUAGGUAGUUGGUGGGGUAAAGGCUCACCAAGCCAACGAUCUGUAGCUGGUCUGAGAGGACGACCAGCCACACUGGAACUGAGACACGGUCCAGACCCCUACGGGAGGCAGCAGUGGGGAAUUUUGGACAAUGGACGCAAGUCUGAUCCAGCCAUUCCGCGUGCAGGAUGAAGGCCCUCGGGUUGUAAACUGCUUUUGUACGGAACGAAAAGGUCUCUCUUAAUACGGGGGACUCAUGACGGUACCGUAAGAAUAAGCACCGGCUAACUACGUGCCAGCAGCCGCAGUAA